Molecule: ribosomal RNA, 1383 nt
Filed under: human gut metagenome
Description: bacterial LSU rRNA
Rfam family: Bacterial large subunit ribosomal RNA
Source: RNAcentral
ACCUACCCGGUUACCAAACCCAGUCAAACUCCGAAUGGCUGCAAUCAUACCUGGGAGUCAGACUGCGACUAAUAAGGGCCGUAGUCAAAAGGGAAACAGCCCAGACCAUCAGCUAAGGUCCCCAAUGCCGUGCUAAGUGGCGAAGGAUGUGGCAUUUCAUAAACAACCAGGAUGUUGGCUCAGAAGCAGCCACCAUUUAAAGAGUGCGUAAUAGCUCACUGGUCGAGAGACGCUGCGCCGAAAAUGUCCGGGGCUUAAGCACGGAACCGAAGCUAUGGCAUGAUAGCAAUAUCAUGGGUAGGGGAGCGUUCUUAUAAGGAAGAAGCAUGACCGGAAGGACAUGUGGACGAAUAAGAAGUGAGAAUGCCGGUAUGAGUAUCGAAAAGAAAGGUGAGAAUCCUUUCCACCGAAAGCCCGAGGGUUCCUGAGCAACGAUCGUCGACUCAGGGUAAGUCGGGACCUAAGCCGAGGCGAGAAGCGUAGGCGAUGGACAACAGGUUGAAAUUCCUGUACCGGAUCAAGUCGAUCGAGCGAAGGAGCGACGCAGGAGGGCACAUGAUCGCGCGGCUGGAAGAGCGCGUCCAAGUGCGUAUGUUGCAGCAGAGGAAAACCCCUGCAGCUAAAAGCAGAGACAUGAUGGGGAGUUAAAGGAAACUUUGACGAACUCAUGAAUCCCACACUGCCAAGAAAAACUUCUAGCGAGACAAGAUCCGCCCGUACCGUAAACCGACACAGGUAGGCGGGGAGAGAAUCCUAAGGUGCGCGGGAAAACCCUCGUUAAGGAACUCGGCAAAUUGCAUCCGUAACCUAGGGAGAAGGAUGGCCCCCGGUCAGUGAAGAGCAGAAACGCUCAGAGCUAAAAGGGGCGGCAGAAAAGAGGCCCAAGCAACUGUUUACCAAAAACACAGGUGCCUGCGAAAGCGAAAGCUGAAGUAUAGGUGCUGACGCCUGCCCGGUGCCGGAAGGUUAAGGAGAGAAGUUAGCGAAAGCGAAGCAUCGAACUGAAGCCCCGGUGAACGGCGGCCGUAACUAUAACGGUCCUAAGGUAGCGAAAUUCCUUGUCGGGUAAGUUCCGACCCGCAUGAAAGGCGUAAUGAUUUGGGCACUGUCUCAACGAGGGGCCCGGUGAAAUUGAAAUACCUGUGAAGAUGCAGGUUACCCGCGACUGGACAGAAAGACCCCAUGGAGCUUCACUGCAGCUUGAGAUUGAAUCCCGGUGACAGAUGCACAGGAUAGGUGGGAGGCGCCGAAGCAUUGCCCUAGGGCGGUGCGGAGCCGAUGUUGGGAUACCACCCUUCUGUUGCUGAGAUUCUAACGCGAGGAGUAACGACCCUGCGGACCCUCUCAGGCAGGCGGUUUGACUGGGGCGGUCGCCUCCGAAAG